GAGUCGUCAUUUAUGUUAAUUACACAACGCAGAGAGGGAAAGAAGGGAUAACCGACCGCAAGGCGGACCGGUUACACAAGCGUUAUCAUAAUGAAUGCAAACAACGAACGAUCACCUGAGCCGUGCAAUGGAUCCUUCCUCUGGGAUCACUCGUUCUUGGACUGGAUCCUGUCUCUAUGAUCAGCCAGCCCUGCACUGGAUCCUGCCUCCAGGAUCACCUGAGGUCUGCACCAGAUCCUGCUUCCUGGAUCACCUAAACCCCCUGUGUCUCUUCUUGCACCUUUUUCUUGUGUACUGCUGUCUUAGAAAUUUUGAACCUGGAAGCAACCUGCUGCUCAGUGUAGCCUUCUGCCAGCGAAACCAGGAUUAAACCAAGAUUUUUUUUUUCCCAGAGCUGUAUAAGGGUGUCUGUCCAUAGUGCCAUGUGUAUGCAAACAAUACAUAAUACAGGAAGAGUGUAAUUAAGCUGAGCAAUUAGCAAAAACAUGCUGAUGAAACAGAAAUACUACUCAUCUGUACUCAGCAGAAACAACUUCUGCUACAUUCAGAAUAUGUGAUUGUUAUGCCUACUGGAGGUAAGUAUGACCCAGGUGUGGUGCAAAACAGUUUGCAGGCAACUUUAUUAGUCAUGGGGUAAAUAAGCUCAGGAGUGUGGAGCAGGUUAACCGACAACAAAGACAACUGGAGAACACAGGUCUGUGAAAUAAAUACCAGACUAACGAAUGGGCAAACACAGGGCAGUUGGUAGUGAUUGACAGAAGGGCAAGAAUAUGAGGAGACUAAUAGAUACCAGGUGUGGCUCAUUAUGUUCACGCCAGGGAGGAGACCAGGAGGGUAAGGUUCACAAGAUAGGCAGGGCGUGACAGUGAUGGUGAUCAUUAUCCUGUAUUAAUAUUUGAUGAUAUAACAAUAAAUGCAAUAACAAUCAUUGGUCAUUGUUAACUUAGAGUACAGAUACGGACUUCAUCCGAGGCAAAAAUCGGCUUUAGCUAUAGGCAGCUGCAUAUAGGCAGAUAUGGGCCUCAGCCAAGGCAGAGCUUCAUCUGAGGCAGAUACAGGCUUCAGCCAUGACAGACACUAGUUUCAUCUGAGGCAAAUGCAAGCUUCAGCCACGGCAGAGCUUCAUCCAAGGCAGAUACAGGCUUCAGCCAUGACAGAUACGGGCUUCAUCUGAGGCAGAUACAGGCUUCAACCAUGGCAGAGCUUCAUCCAAGGCAGAUACAGGCUUCAGCUGAGGCAGAUACUGUUCAGCUAAUGGCCCAGUGCCUGUAGCUUUAGCAGACGAGUAUGGCUAUAACACAGGGGAGAACCAUUGAUAUGACACAAUCAUUUGGAUGAAAGCAAGACCUUUACCUUUCACAUAGAAUCAAACCAUCUAAAUAAAAAUACAUAUUUUCCUGCAAGUGGAGGGCAGUUUUGGCACAGACAAUAUCAUUUAACCAGUUGAUAAUAUGCAAUAACUUUCAUAGUUGCAUUUCCAUUUAUUUGCUCAGCAGGCACAUUUAUCCAAAGUGGCGCACAUCUGUUGCAGCAACUGGGGAUUAAGGGCCUUGCUCAAGGACCCAACAGUGACGUCACUCUGCUGACUACUGGAUUUGAACUGGGCAAGUAUGAACUGAGCAUACCUGCAAUGAACACCAUAAGCAAGAGCCACCUUCUGGAAAACCGUUCUGCAAAAGUUUGUCCAUGAUAUCAUAAUACGUUUUUUAAUUUCUUUAUUUAGUUUUCUAAUUUGUACAACCUGCACUGUUAAGCUUUAAUAUUUUAUAGGGCUGCACGAUAUCACACCACAACAUAAUCGCAAGUAUAUGGCGCAAGGCUUAAGAUGACAGGCGUGAACAUUUGUCCAGAUAGCAGCUUUUCGGACAUUUUUGCCCAAAAUAGUAGUACAGAUAAAAUAUUAAUAAGAGGUGUAUUGUGACACUCAAAAGUAAGUAAUCUGUAUUCAUUUAUUGUUUUGCAGUUUAAAUUCUGACACCUUUAGAAAAUAUAAGGAUACGCUGAAUUUAUACAGAUUACUAAGUUUUGAGCAUCACAAUAUGCCUCUCAUUAACAUUUUAGGCAUACUACUAA
Non-coding RNA from Paramormyrops kingsleyae, 2073 nucleotides. Lineage: Eukaryota; Metazoa; Chordata; Actinopteri; Osteoglossiformes; Mormyridae. The record is from RefSeq and is a predicted model, not a curated record.